Molecule: RNase P RNA, 414 nt
Filed under: bovine gut metagenome
Description: Bacterial RNase P class A
Rfam family: Bacterial RNase P class A
About the family: Ribonuclease P (RNase P) is a ubiquitous endoribonuclease, found in archaea, bacteria and eukarya as well as chloroplasts and mitochondria. Its best characterised activity is the generation of mature 5'-ends of tRNAs by cleaving the 5'-leader elements of precursor-tRNAs. Cellular RNase Ps are ribonucleoproteins.
Source: RNAcentral
AGGUAUUACCGUGAGGAAAGUCCGGGCAUCGCAGGGCAGGAUAACGGAUAACGUCCGCCGAGGGUAACCUCCGGGAAAGUGCAACAGAAAUAAACCGCCCUAUGGAACAGAUUCGGAAGCUUUCCGGCAUCAGGCUCAAAGCCGCUCCGGUUUCGCACUGUACGAAAUUCGAAGCGAGCCGCGGGUUCCCGAAUGCGGCUUCGCCGCAUUUGGGGUUCUAAGGCAAGGAUGGAAAGGCGAGGUAAGAGCUCACCGGCAUUGUGGCAACACCGUGCAAAUGUAAACCCUAUCCGAUGCAACACCGUAAGGAGAAGAUCUGCCCGAUCGCCGUAAGGAUCCUUUAGGUGGCACGGAGCUGUGCGGCGACGUACAGCCAAGACAGAUGAUCGUUUGAUACAGAACCCGGCUUACGAA